This 485-nucleotide long non-coding RNA is filed under the name Mytilus galloprovincialis (Mediterranean mussel). The record is from RNAcentral. Lineage: Eukaryota; Metazoa; Mollusca; Bivalvia; Mytilida; Mytilidae.
UUAAGGUAGCACAAUACAAAGAUUUUAUAACUCCAACUCCCAAGUUUUAAAAUGCUGUAACUUUCUUAAUAAUGCUUGAAAAUUUAUAAAAGUGGUAGUUUUGGAUAGCUAACAGAUUACUCUUUCAAAUUAAUGCAAUGUUAGUAUUAUGCAACAAUUAUGUAACCAAUUAUAAUGUUAACUGUGUCUAAAAUAUUUUUCACCAAAUUUCCACUUUCAAAUGAAAUUAGCUUCUGCAUAGGUAUCCCUAGAGGGUUGAUUUUAUUAUAUGUUGUUCCUAUGGCCAUUAUCUACAAAAGGGUGUCUCAGAUUUCAGAUAGAAUGUAUAGAACAAAUUUUACACCUAAUUAAACAUUAUCUUCUUUUAUGUGAUUAGGAUGUUUCACUAAUUAGAGAUUUAUGAGAGAAUGGAAUACCAUAGAGACAAUCUGAGACACCCUUUUGAAGCCCAUGAUGUGUUGAUUAAGAUUUCGUUAAAAUUUUCU